AUUGAACGCUGGCGGCAUGCUUUACACAUGCAAGUCGAACGGUAACAGGCCUUCGGGUGCUGACGAGUGGCGGACGGGUGAGUAAUGCACCGGAACGUACCCAGAGGUGGGGGAUAACGCAGCGAAAGCUGUGCUAAUACCGCAUGUGAUCUGAGGAUGAAAGCGGGGGACCGAGCAGCAAUGUUUGGCCUCGCGCCUUUGGAGCGGCCGAUGUGGGAUUGGCUAGUUGGUGGGUUAAAGGCCUACCAGGGCGACGAUCCGUAGCUGGUCUGAGAGGACGGCCGCCGACACGGGAGGUGGAACGCGGACAAGGCGACUACGAGAGGCAGCAGUGGGGAAUGGUAGACAGAGGGCGCGAACCUUGUACAGCGAGGCGGCGUGCGGGAAGAAGGCCUCCGGGUUGUGAUGCGCUUUUGGGAGGAGCAAAACGGUGUCGGCUGUGACCGAGCGUGAGUGACGGUACCUGGAGAAUAAGCACCGGCUAACUACGUG
RNAcentral lists this ribosomal RNA (492 nucleotides) under uncultured bacterium. Its description in RNAcentral is "partial 16S ribosomal RNA". It matches the Rfam family "Bacterial small subunit ribosomal RNA", at positions 28 to 507 of the family's 1533-position model. The record is from RNAcentral.